UGGACGGAGAGUUCGAUCCUGGCUCAGGAUGAACGCUGGCGGCGCGCCUAACACAUGCAAGUCGAACGGCACCCGCCCUCGGGCGGAAGCGAGUGGCGAACGGCUGAGUAACACGUGGAGAACCUGCCCCCCUCCCGGGGAUAGCCGCCGGAAACGGCGGGUAACACCCGAUGACCCCGCACCCGGGCAUCCGGGAGCGGGCAAAACCCAGGUGGAGGGGGAUGGCUCCGCGGCCCAUCAGGUAGACGGCGGGGUGACGGCCCACCGUGCCGACAACGGGUAGCCGGGUUGAGAGACCGACCGGCCAGAUUGGGACUGAGACACGGCCCAGACUCCUACGGG
Molecule: ribosomal RNA, 342 nt
Filed under: Candidatus Collinsella stercoripullorum
Lineage: Bacteria; Bacillati; Actinomycetota; Coriobacteriia; Coriobacteriales; Coriobacteriaceae
Description: bacterial SSU rRNA
Rfam family: Bacterial small subunit ribosomal RNA
Source: RNAcentral